This 501-nucleotide ribosomal RNA is filed under the name uncultured bacterium. Its description in RNAcentral is "partial 16S ribosomal RNA". It matches the Rfam family "Bacterial small subunit ribosomal RNA", at positions 28 to 523 of the family's 1533-position model. The record is from RNAcentral.
GGUGAACGCUGGCGGCCUGCCUUACACAUGCAAGUCGAACGGCAGCACGGGUGCUUGCACCUGGUGGCGUGUGGCGAACGGGUGAGUGAUACUUCGGAACGUAUCAUACUGGGGGGGAUAACACCGCGAAAGCUGUGCUAAUACCGCAUAAUCCCUAAGGGGGAAAGCGGGGGACCGUAAGGCCUCGCGCAAUUAGAGCGGCAGAUACCGGAUUAGCUAGUUGGUGAGGUAAAGGCACACCAAGGAAACGAUCAGUAGCUGGUCUGAGAGGACGAUCAGCCACACUGGGACUGAGACACGGCCCAGACUCCUACGGGAGGCAGCAGUGGGGAAUUUUGGACAAUGGGGGCAACCCUGAUCCAGCAAUGCCGCGUGAGUGAAGAAGGCCUUCGGGUUGUAAAGCUCUUUUGUCAGGGAAGAAACAGCAGCUCUAACACAGUUUGCGAAUGACGGUACCUGAAGAAUAAGCACCGGCUAACUACGUGCCAGCAGCCGCCGUAA